RNAcentral lists this ribosomal RNA (329 nucleotides) under Candidatus Ryanbacteria bacterium RIFCSPHIGHO2_02_FULL_45_17b. RNAcentral's name for it is "bacterial SSU rRNA". It matches the Rfam family "Bacterial small subunit ribosomal RNA", at positions 1 to 363 of the family's 1533-position model. Lineage: Bacteria; Candidatus Ryaniibacteriota. The record is from RNAcentral.
AUUGAGAGUUUGAUCCUAGCUCAGGACGAACGCUGGCGGCGUGGAUAAGGCAUGCAAGUCGAGUGGGUUUAGACCCACGGCAAACGGGGUAGUAACACGUGGGUACGUACCUCGGAGUCGGGCAUAAUUAGCCGAAAGGUUGAAUAAUUCCCGAUAGUCUCGCAAGAGUAAAGUCGUAAGAUGCUCCGAGAAUGGCCUGCGGGCUAUCAGCUAGUUGGUAAGGUAACGGCUUACCAAGGCGAUGACGGCUAGGGGGGGUGAGAGCCCGAUCCCCACCAAUGGUACUGCGACACGGACCAUACACCUACGGGUGGCAGCAGCCGAGAAUA